CCUUGGUGCGCCUCUGUGAGGUGGUGUGCCUUGCUUGUCCCGGGGCACCUUGCGCCUAGGGCGCACCUGAGGCACGCCUUUGAUAACAGUGCCUAGAACAGAAUUGGGUCUGGACGGUUGAUCUGGAUGUGCCAUGUCUGACAUGCUUUCAUGACAUGAGUGCUUCUACAGUUUUCAUUUUUCAAUUUCAUCUAUCUGAGAGUGAGAACAGUUGAGUUUGUGUAUUUUGAUUCUUAUCCAUAUAUUGCAGAAACUGGAGAGUAGCGGGAUUUAGUGUUUAACACUUGUAUAUAUGGAUGAUGAAAAUGAUGAAGAAAGUGGCCUGUUUUACUCUCUAACUUGAUGCUCCAAAUUUGCUUGUGCGUAAAUAUGUUUGCUGUUGCUGCCUAUGGAUGAGGGUUGAUUGUUUCGAUAAACUUAGAUGAUGGAUGAUGGAUUGCACAUUGAAAUCAAGUAAGGGCCAGGCUUCAGGAUUGCGACUUGACUACCAAGGAUGCAUAUAAAUAUUUUGUACACAGAGCUCAAGAAAUAAAAAUUUCAAAAGGUUGGACCCGUGUCAACUGAGCGCUCAUGGAGUAGGAGAGAGGCCAUAUCUUCCAGAAAUAUUACCUUAACAGCUUUACCUAUCUUGCAGUACUUCAGGUGCCUACUGAAUAGGCGUGGAGUUGAAGCUGCUCCUGUCGCAAAUUUUUAUGCCCGACAAUCUCCGAUAGGUCUCGGGUUAUGCUAUGAGCAAUAAUUCCUCGUGUCAUAUUCAUGCAUCUGAAGCUGACUCUUUGUAUUUUGUAUGUAAUAAAUGCAAGCACUCCAAAAAAACUUCAUACUUUUCAGGUUUCAAUUGUUCUUUUACUAGAAAAUUGAUUGAUAUUAAUUUGGUGUCAUAUAUCAAUGGUAGAGUAUUUGGGGUUGCAAGAAUAAAGUUACUCAAUUUGCAACCUGGAGGUCACGGAUUCGAGUCAUGAAAAUAGCCUCCUUGCAAAAUAGAGGUAAGGCUUUGUACAUCAAGCCUUCUUAGAGCCCACUAUUGUGUGAUAUUUCAUGCAUUGGAUCUCCCUUUUUA
This is an RNA transcript of Hevea brasiliensis (rubber tree), 1060 nucleotides long. It is a transcript of the gene named beta-hexosaminidase 1-like, with no coding region annotated. The record is from RefSeq and is a predicted model, not a curated record. NCBI's taxonomy places the organism in Eukaryota, Viridiplantae, Streptophyta, Magnoliopsida, Malpighiales, Euphorbiaceae. The transcript has 3 exons.